GAGCAGAAGGGACUAUGGAUAAGCAUAGGAAAUUACCAUGUGGGCACAGGGUGAUGGAAGGGGGACGAAGGGGUGAAAGACCUAAUGAAUAAGGGCUAAUAAUAAACAAAUUCAUGGAAAUGCAUGCACUCUUACUAAUAAGCAGUCUCGUGCAAGAGAAAAACCAUUUUCACAUAUUAAAUUAGGAAACCUUUUUUUAAAAAAGAAUACUUAAUGUCCCAUGAAUGAGGCGGAUAACACUCAUGAACGCCGGACAAAGAAUACACUGCAACUACUCUUUGGAAAGCAAAGUGACAUUAUUGAAAGCUCCAAAUCCUUUCCCCAAAACUGUAAUUGAACUUCUGGGAUCUAUGCUAAAGAAAAUAAUCACCCUAAAUACAGCAAAUAGACACAAGAUGAAAACACACCCUUCCUUGGCUUAGCAAAGAUAUUUUCCCUAAUACUAUUUACAAUAACAAAAUAAUUAAAAAUUAGCUUACUGGUCUACCACGAGGGAAUGGUUUUUAAACUGGUACAGAGACUAAAUGGAAUAUUAUGUAGCCAUUAAAACAUACCAAGAAAAACAUGUAUAUUAUCCUAUUUGGACAUCAGAGACCACUUACACUAUCAUACAUAAUUAAAAAAACCUUUUUUGUAAGAUAGUCUAAAAGGAACACCUUAUACUGUAAACAAUGGCUUCUUCUGUCUGAAGAAAUAUGAGUCAUUUUCUUCCCUGUUUCUACAUUUUUCCACUUUUUUCAAAUGUUCUUUAAUCUGUACAUAGUACUUUAUUAUUAAAGAUCAUUCAAAUUAACAGGAAUACCCUAAAGAGGAUGUGGCAUACAUAUAAGAAAAUACUAGAAUAUAUAGCAUUUUUAAGAAAAAAGAAAUAUGAAGAAACAAGGCACAGUUUAUAGUAUAAGCUGAGAAGAUAAACAGGAGAAAGGGCAGAUAACCAGGUCCCAGAUACCAGAGCUAAAAUAGAGUGAGGAGGAAGGAGAAGCUUAAGUAAGUGACAAGUAGGAAAGAAAACCCAGUAAAAUACCGGGACAGAAAAGAAAAAGGUAUCGAACAAGAGUUGUGGAGCUGAAUAUUAGAAUGCUUUUGCUUUGCUACAGGAUUAUUUAAAAAUGCUUGGUCUGGAGUUCCCGCUGUAGCUCUACAGGUUAAGAACCCAACCAGUAUCCAUGAGGAUGGGGGUUUGAUCCCUGGCCCUGCUCAGUGGGUUAAGGAUGCUGUGUUGCUGAAAGCUGUGGCAUAGAUUGCAGAUGCGGCUCGUAUCUGGUGUUGCUGUGGCUGUGGCAUAGGCUGGCAGCUGCGGCGCCAAUUCAAACCUUAGCCAAGGAACUUCCAUUGCUCUGGUGAGGCCCUAAAAAGAAAUAAAAAAUGUUGGGUCACCAUAAUAACAAUGGAAUAAUGGGGUAAGGCCACAUGACUUUACAAACAGAAAAGUCAAAGAAGGAUGGGGGUUGUGAAGGUGAGAUGCUAAUCUGAUUUCCCUUGUAUCCAUGUCAAGGUCAAGAGUCAAGCUGCUUUAUAUUUCAAGGUUUCCAGUCAGUCCACUAGGACUUCAGUGUCCUACCAAAUAUUCCUUGUGGCUUCCCUCUGCCAACUGGAUUAGCAUCCUCCUGUUUAUCUCUGGUGUUAAUUUUAUGUUUGAUAUUUCAGGAUAGCUAAACAGACUUGUUUGGGGAGGAAGGGAAAGGGAAGAAUAUUAGAAAGGAUUGCAAUAGCAGUGCACAUUGAAAACCUUUGAAAUGUUGAGCACAAUGGCUAGGCAGAAAAACAUGAAUUGCAUGACUCUCAUCUGUGAUCCCCUUCAUGGUUUUCUAUCCUUGGAUCAGCCCUCUGGAAAACUGUGGAGAACAGCAUAAUUAUUGCACGUCUUGCUAAGAUCUUUCACUUGCUAGAUGUAAACCUUUAAAAAGAGUCCUCGGUUUUUAGUUCUGUGUGAUAUAUAUUGGCUGCCUCUAUCUUUUUCUAAUCCAGCAUAAAAUCCCUUCAAUCUAGACAUCUUUAAGUAGUAAGUUCAUGUGAUGCUUGGCAGAAGUUUCCUUCAUUUGAAGGCCACAGAUUCUUAGAAUUUCCUUAUUUUCUCUACUCUGCUCCCCGCCCCCCCCCUUUUUUUCUCAGCUUGAAAAUAUGAUGAGAUAAAAUAGGGAAGUUCUUGUGUUCCAGAGGCACCAUAAACAUUAGGCAGGGCUGGGAGUACAUUAAACUUGCUCCCACAGUGAAUAAUUCUUCCUACCUCUUACUGGUAGACUGAAGACUUCAAUUUCCUAGAGAAAAAAAAAGUGCUUUGCCAAUGAUGUCACCCUCUUUUAACAACACGAAGUAUUUAAUAUUUCCUAUGCUACUUAGAUUAUAUAAACCCAUUUCCCUUCCCCUGGUAGAGUUUAAUUUGCAAAUGAAUUUAAAAUAGAGAUGUUUUUGCUAAACCAUAAUGAGAAUACUUUCUCUUGCAAAUUCUUAGACUGCCUUUGGUUAUUUAUUUCACUGAAAUAUCCAUAGCUGUGAGCACAGCAAUUUCUGAAAGCCUGUUUGCAACAGCACCUAGAAUCUGUCAUCCAAUUCCCUUUCUCAACAGCAGGAUGAAUUAGGUACUCUCUCUCUCUCUCUCUCGUAACUCACAUGUUUUCUGAAAGAUAAUCAUUGAGAGAAAUUGACCAUAAACUAACCAUUAGCUUUUCCCAGAGCCCAAGGAUUACCAGCCAACUUAAAUUUAAUGCACGAACAUCAAGGAGGGAAAAGAACUUUAGGAAGUUCCUUAAAUCACUGUGAGGUUAGAGCUGUUGGCUUAGCUCACUGCUGGUGUCCUGAACCAGAUUUAGGCAAUGAUAACUCUAAGUUAAUGGGGUUUCCCCUAACUUUCCAUUUUGGUGAACUUAGCCCAUCGUGGGGUUAGUUUGGUGGUGAUUCUAUUUCUCUGGCUGUGUCGAAAAACUUGAGACUUGAGCAUCAUAACAUUUUUACAUGAAGGAAAGGUAAGAGUUACAAUUUGCAUGUUUUAAAAACAGCUUUAUUUCCCCCUCUAUUAAUUCUAACAUUUAAUCAAAGCUACUUUUCAGGGGGAAACUUGCCUACAAAGGUCAAAGUCACUAGCAGUCACACGCCACCCCUAAGUCCAGCCUUGUGUGGGCUGCAGGACGCCAACAUUGAAGAGGAACCCAUGUGUGGAUAUAGUAAGGUUUUCAGGUCAUCUCCAGGGACUUUCAUUUUUAAUUUUUCUUCCCUGCCCCUUCAGCUAAAGAGCUGAAGUUAAAGAGAAAGGCAUGCCUUUUGGUUUUUUUGUUAAUGUCAAUGAGCUAAAGGAAGAAAGAGGCCAACUGUGGGCUUGUCUAUGCAAAGUAUACCAGUCAAUGAAGAGGAGGCUUUUACGGGUGUGGGUUGAGAAGCACAGUGGUUAAAGGAAGGGCUCUCAAUUCAGACCUGGGUGGAAUUCUAGCUUUUCACUUACUUGCUUUGUGAUGUUGGGGCAGACAGAUAAGUUACUUAAACCUCAGUUCGCACAUCUCUAAAAUGGGGUUAAAGAGAGUAACUAAAUGGUGUUCUGCAGAGAAAUAAAUCAAACAGUGUACCUACAGCAUUCGUCAUAGUAGGUAAUCUGUGAUCUUGGAUGAAUGCAUGAAUGAAUAAAGUUUAUUGGUUCCCAAAGAAAAGCAGAGGAUAGAAGAAAAUUCCAACCAUUUAAUACACACUGAGUACAAUUAUGUAUCCUGAACUGAAGUAGUAGGGUGGGAGGGCUGUCUUUAAGAAGUAGAAGACCCUCUCUGACUCCAUUUAUCCCCUUCUCCUAUACAACUGUGGCCCAUGUAUUCUAUAGAAAUUAUUCAGUUGGCCUCCAUGUCACUAUAUCUGAAUCUUACUGAACUUAAACUUUUCGGCAGCUGAAAAGCAGCAAGUCCAAAACUAAAUUCAUCAUCAGCUAUUGUGCCAUGCCAUUGCUUUUCUAGUGUUCUCUGUCCAUUAUCCAAACAAUUGCUCGAAAAUGACAUUGGACACUUUCCCUUCUUUGGCUAUGAGCAUGUUAGACACGAGGAACAUAUAUGAUGUUCAAGUUCAUGGUUCGUGAGGGUUUAGAGCUUGGGAAACAAUCCCUAGCUGGGUGGUAGGUGAAGCCAUGGUGUAAACAAGCUCACUCAGGAAGGACCAGAAAGGGGCCUGAGAACAAGCCGUGAAGAACUCCAUAUUUAAAGCUGGAUUGCAGAAGACGAGCCUGCAAUGCAGAGCAGAGGAAGUAGCCAAAAAGGUAAAAGGAGUGCCUGAAAAUGUAGUAUAGGGAAGUCAAGGGAAAGAAGAUAUGAGGACUUAGCAGUCAAUUGCAUUCAGUGGCAUUGGGAAGGCAAAAUAAGGACUGAAAAUGUCUACUGAUGUUUUGGCAAAUGGAGGAGCACAGAGACCUUGGUAAAAUCCAUGUCACUCACUGAUGGUGACAGAAGACAAAAGUACAGUAGAUCUUAGUAGCCUAUACUCUCCAGUCUAAACUCUUGGUUCUAGAAAUGAAGACCUUUUCUUAAUUUUCCUCAAAUUAUUUUCAACU
This 4519-nucleotide long non-coding RNA is filed under the name Sus scrofa (pig). RNAcentral's name for it is "lncRNA (ENSSSCG00015029502.1)". The record is from RNAcentral. Lineage: Eukaryota; Metazoa; Chordata; Mammalia; Artiodactyla; Suidae.